AGAGUUUGAUCCUGGCUCAGGAUGAACGCUAGCUACAGGCUUAACACAUGCAAGUCGAGGGGCAGCGGUAUCGAAAGCUUGCUUUCGGUAGCCGGCGACCGGCGCACGGGUGAGUAACGCGUAUCGAACCUGCCUCAUACUCGGGAAUAGCCUUGCGAAAGUAAGAUUAAUGCCCGGUGUUUUCAGAGUCCCGCAUGAGGCUUUGAACAAAGAUUUAUCGGUAUGAGAUGGCGAUGCGUCCCAUUAGCUUGUUGGCGGGGUAACGGCCCACCAAGGCAUCGAUGGGUAGGGGUUCUGAGAGGAAGGUCCCCCACAUUGGAACUGAGACACGGUCCAAACUCCUACGGGAGGCAGCAGUGAGGAAUAUUGGUCAAUGGGCGGAAGCCUGAACCAGCCAAGUAGCGUGCAGGAAGACGGCCCUCCGGGUUGUAAACUGCUUUUAGUUGGGAAUAAAACGGGGCUCGUGAGCCCCCUUGCAUGUACCAUCAGAAAAAGGACCGGCUAAUUCCGUGCCAGCAGCCGCGGUAAUACGGAAGGUUCGGGCGUUAUCCGGAUUUAUUGGGUUUAAAGGGGGCGCAGGCGGACCUUUAAGUCAGCUGUGAAAUACGGCGGCUCAACCGUCGAACUGCAGUUGAUACUGGAGGUCUUGAGUGCACACAGGGAUGCUGGAAUUCAUGGUGUAGCGGUGAAAUGCUCAGAUAUCAUGAAGAACUCCGAUCGCGAAGGCAGGCAUCCGGGGUGCAACUGACGCUGAGGCUCGAAAGUGCGGGUAUCAAACAGGAUUAGAUACCCUGGUAGUCCGCACAGUAAACGAUGAAUACUCGCGGUUUGCGAUACAGUGUAAGCCGCCAAGCGAAAGCGUUAAGUAUUCCACCUGGGGAGUACGCCGGCAACGGUGAAACUCAAAGGAAUUGACGG
RNAcentral lists this ribosomal RNA (918 nucleotides) under uncultured bacterium. Its description in RNAcentral is "bacterial SSU rRNA". It matches the Rfam family "Bacterial small subunit ribosomal RNA", at positions 8 to 916 of the family's 1533-position model. The record is from RNAcentral.